GGACGAACGCUGGCGGCGUGCUUAACACAUGCAAGUCGAGCGGUAAGGCCCUUUCGGGGGUACGACGAGCGGCGAACGGGUGAGUAACACGUGGGUGACCUGCCCUCAGCUCUGGGAUAAGCCUGGGAAACCGGGUCUAAUACUGGAUAUGACUCCAUGACGCAUGUUGUGGGGUGGAAAGCCUUGUGCGGCUGAGGAUGGGCCCGCGGCCUAUCAGCUUGUUGGUGGGGUGANGGCCCUACCAAGGCGACGACGGGUAGCCGGCCUGAGAGGGCGACCGGCCACACUGGGACUGAGACACGGCCCAGACUCCUACGGGAGGCAGCAGUGGGGAAUCUUGCGCAAUGGGCGAAAGCCUGACGCAGCGACG
This 370-nucleotide ribosomal RNA is filed under the name uncultured bacterium. RNAcentral's name for it is "bacterial SSU rRNA". It matches the Rfam family "Bacterial small subunit ribosomal RNA", at positions 27 to 396 of the family's 1533-position model. The record is from RNAcentral.